Molecule: long non-coding RNA, 3174 nt
Filed under: Homo sapiens (human)
Lineage: Eukaryota; Metazoa; Chordata; Mammalia; Primates; Hominidae
Description: HSALNT0316077
Source: RNAcentral
GUGGGGUGGGGGGGAAGAGAAGAGGAGAAAGUCUCCCCCUCCCCUCCCCUUCCCCCCAGGCGGGGGAGAGUUGCCUCUGGCCAACCAGCUAGUCCCGGGUGUGGGAGGAGGGGGGCGCGGGGGAUGGGGGGCCGGCAGGAGAAGGGAGCCUUUUCGAGCCUCGUACAGGAGCCCAUGGACCUAGACCAGAGACCACGGACCCUGAAAAUACCCACUGAAUCUACACCGAGAUUGAAUGCACAACACAGUUUGCAACUUGUAAGGCUUGUAUUUUAUACAGUAGUUGAAACCGAUAAAUUCGUUGUAAAUCAUUUGGGAAGGUUAAAAAAUUUAAUUAAAAAUAAAAUGAAAGGCAGGAAGAUUGACAUUUGUAGUGCCUAACGCCCCUGAAUUUUAUUUCCAUCUUUAAGAAAAGAAAACCAAAAGCCAAACCGACUCUGGCAGCGCGGGGAGACUUCCCAGCCGUUUUCUUGGGCAGCUAGGACAGCACCUGGGCCGUGCCAGAAAUGCCAGUUGCUAUGGUCCUGAUGGAUGGAAAGGAAGUGCAGGUUGGGUCUGCGCAGCAUGUCUAAAGCCUGAAAUACCGAAGCCACCCUUACCUUACUUCCCCAAAGUGACAACGCGCGGGAAUUCAGUCACAGCAGAGAACGAGUUGCAUCCAGUAACUCCCUUAGCUACCGGCCCCCCAGAAGUCUCGUAAAGUCUCAAAAGGCGAUGCGAUUAGCAAGACCGCGGCAAGGGGGGCACUUGUUACUCCUACACUUGCUCUCUGUUUAAAAAAAGGCUCUGAAGUAGGAAAGGUAGAUGCCGACCCUUUCUCCCGUCCUUAAACUACUCACCUUGUCAGCCCAGUAACUGAGAUAAACACAACAAAACAACCCCCCCACAACAACAAACACAACACCCAGAUUCAGGCAUUUACUCUCUGUAUGCCCACCUACUUGGGUUUUCCUUCAUCCUUAAGAAACUCAGAUGAAAACAGAGCUUUGUUUUAAAAAAUACUUUUAUUUGUUUAUUUCAGAUUGCUUCUGAGGAGGAAAAUCCUUCUCCCAACGGAGGCCGAGGCCCCUUCUAGGAAGGCGGUUUAUUUGCUAUUACUUGACCAUUACCCGGGCUUAGGGCUUCUUUAUUGCAUUUGGCACUUGGAGCACAGUCUUCUUGCAGUAUUUUGAUGUGUUUUGCAAAAAAAAAAAAAAAAAAAAAAAAAAAAAAAAAUCUGUGUUUAGGGGAAGGUUAAUUACGCUUUUCAUUCUUCCCUCAUCUCCAGCACUGUGGAAGGGAACGGUUCAUUAGCUGUAGAGGCAGAAAGGCUAAAAAGCAAGGCUUCUUUUUUUAUUUGUAGGGACUGCAGAGUUGCAGGUCUUGGCUAUAGAGUGCAUGUGAGUGUGUGUGUGAAUGUGAGUGAGUGUGACUUUUGCCGGCUAGCCCAGCUCCCAGGCUUUCUGAGCCAAGGCCUCCCCUGGGCCCUGGGGCCGGCUUCCUGCAGGGACAGACAUUCAACAUGUAGGACUAGAAAUUAACAUGUCAUUCCACGAAUUUUGGUUUCUUUCUUUCUUUCUCUUUCUUUUUUUUUUUUUUUUUUUGGAGUUGAAGGUGAGGAGUCGUAAGCAAUUUCUCUUUAAGCAUGUUACUGUUUGGGAGUUUAUUUUAUUUUUGUAAGUUGGGGCCAGGUUAUCCGAGGCUGCAGUUGUGACCUGGGGCAGGAAGGGGGGACGCCCUCCUCCCCGGGCUAGAAGGACAAGAGAGCGGAGUUGCCCCCGGCACGCCCGGCUCGGCCCCCUCUCUCCCGGCACCCCCCUGCGCGUUGCCUCCGCUGGAAGCGGGCGGUGAGAUGGAGAACCUUGACUUGUCAUCUCCUGGUCACCGGCUUUUUCCCUGUUCCCAAGGCACCCAGAGCCCUGUUCCCAAGAGCUGAGCCCUCCCACGCUUCAUCUCAAAACCGUCUGGUGCUGAGGAAGUGGCCCAAGAUGGACGUGGGGGUGGGACUGGGGAAGCCCCAGUGAGGUGGGAGGCAGUUUCUCACUCAGGGGGCCCCCUACACCUCGCUCCUCAGGCUGCUCAGCUCAGGGCUCCAAGGUUUGGCCAGAACUCUUCUUUCCCUCUCUAGUCUCAGAGGGGCUGCGUGCCUGGCGCGCUGCUUCCCUCGGAGCUGGGUUUACAUUGACAGUGUAAACUCACACCCACACAUGCGUGUGCACACCCACACACGUCUUGGCUUCAGGAAGACAAGGAGCACUCUUGCGCGGAGGGCAGGCACACACUCACUCAUUCACUCUCCCUGUUGGGACAGGCUCCUUCCUAGCCUCAUAGGGCAAGGGAGAGUGAGUUUGGGGAAGAGAUGGGGUGGGAGGGAAAAGUUACACUCUGAUGAUGCCAGGUACAUUUUUUUGGAGUGACGGUUAACCCUUCUUCCGCUGGAAGCCGCUGUCUAGGCAUUUUCUAAAACGGUCUGUGGGGUCUGCUUUUCUUUUCUCCUGGACGGCGCAGGAUAAAUCAUUAGUUCCCUCCCGACUUCCCCACUCCACUAGCCACGGUCUUCUUUCUAAAAUUAGAUUUCCCCCUUCCCACUCUUCUGGCCUUCAGAGUUUACCAGGGAAUUUUCAAGGAAAUUGGCUGUAUAGUGAGAACAAGUGUAAGGAAGAGGAUAAAGAGGAGACAGACAAAUCGAUCAGAAAACCAGAGAGGGAGACAGGAAGGGAGAAAUAGUGUAGUUCUUCCAGAUCCUUAGUUUGCACACAGAUUGGUAUUAUCCUCCCCAGCCCCUCCAGGAAAUGAAAAAAGUAUAAUCCUUGUUAAUUACCUUUGCUUACUACAAGCCAUACAAGAAACUUCAGAGAUGUCUCUACAUAGGGAAGAAACUGUUUACAAGACUCUUUCAAAAGUGUGACAUAUUGCUCUAGUUCAGCACUAAAAAGCUAAACACACUUAGCCUCCUUUGAAGUGCCCUGGCUGGGGCAGCUUAUUUGAGUGUGGUUCAGAUAUUGCUGUGGGUAUAACUAAUGGCUUCUACCUAUUUAGCUCAAGUGGGAGGAGAGAAAGUCCUGAAUUCCUUGUCCAAUGGGUCCCUCUGGAGACUGGGUUCUGGCUUCUUGCCAAUUCUGUACAAUGUCAACAUUGAAUAUUUGAAUUCCCAGACUCUAUUUAACAAGUUUCUAAAUAAAUAAACUCAUUGUG